ACGAAUCGGAGCAGGCGGCCGCUGCUGAUGGUACGACGGUGCAAACCUUGUUGGCGGUUAGGUGUGCGGCAGCGGAUUCAGCCAGACGGGCGGGUGAGCGGGUGUGGCGGGUGCGGUGGGUGCGGCGGGGUGGGGGCAUAUAUGGUGGUGCUGAGUUGUGAAGGGUUUCCCAGAGCCCAAAUGAUCUAUGCGGACUAGGAGAUCUGUAUGGACAAAGGAGCAGCGGCUUUUCGAGAGCAUGUUUCGUUUUUUGACUUGGCUGGGUCGAACACGACCGACCCCUCCAAUAGCCAAGAAGCUGAAGGACACAUCCUACAUAUUUCCUACAUGCAACCAGGGGAUCGUCGUCAUCAUCAUCAACAUGGUCAACAUCAUCAACAUCAUCAACAUCAUCAACUUCAUUAACAUCAACAUCAUCAACAUCAUCAACUUCUUCUGCGCCGCUGUGUUGCCUAGCCAGGGGCUGGGAGAGUGUCCCGGUUGGCGUGAGUGAGGGAAUGAGGCGCGCGCGGAGAGACGGACGUAGAGCCGCG
RNAcentral lists this long non-coding RNA (533 nucleotides) under Volvox carteri. RNAcentral's name for it is "long non-coding RNA (VCAR_LNC001462)". Lineage: Eukaryota; Viridiplantae; Chlorophyta; Chlorophyceae; Chlamydomonadales; Volvocaceae. The record is from RNAcentral.